GACGAACGCUGGCGGCGUGCUUAACACAUGCAAGUCGAACGGAGUUUCUUGGAUCAAGACUUCGGUCAAGUGAAUUGAAACUUAGUGGCGGACUGGUGAGUAACGCGUGAGGAACCUGCCUUUCAGAGGGGGACAACAGUUGGAAACGACUGCUAAUACCGCAUAAGACCACGGGAUCACAUGUUCCUGGGGUAAAAGAUUUAUCGGUGUAGGGUGAGCUCGCGUCCGAUUAGCUAGUUGGUGAGGUAACGGCCCACCAAGGCGACGAUCGGUAGCCGACCUGAGAGGGUGAUCGGCCACAUUGGAACUGAGACACGGUCCAAACUCCUACGGGAGGCAGCAGUGGGGAAUAUUGGGCAAUGGGCGAAAGCCUGACCCAGCAACGCCGCGUGAGUGAAGAAGGUUUUCGGAUUGUAAAGCUCUAUCCUCGAGGACGAAGGAAGUGACGGUACUCGAGAAGGAAGCCCCGGCUAACUACGUG
RNAcentral lists this ribosomal RNA (481 nucleotides) under uncultured bacterium. RNAcentral describes it as "bacterial SSU rRNA". It matches the Rfam family "Bacterial small subunit ribosomal RNA", at positions 28 to 507 of the family's 1533-position model. The record is from RNAcentral.